AAACCCUUACUGUCCCCGUUACUGACACUCAUGCAACAUAUGGGUUCACUUGGCUUCCAUAGAUGGAGCUCUGUCUGCAUUUGUUGAAUGAACCUCGGUGGACCUUUGUGGCUACAUCAACUCAUGAAAUACAGCAGAAGUGACAUUCCAUGACCUCCAAGGCUAGAGAGAACAAAAAAACCCCAAAAAACAAGUCAGCCUGUCUGGAAAAAUCAAAUCAGCCAAUUCUAUCCAUUCCUGUGUAAUUCUAG
Kogia breviceps (pygmy sperm whale) is the source of this 251-nucleotide non-coding RNA. The record is from RefSeq and is a predicted model, not a curated record. NCBI's taxonomy places the organism in Eukaryota, Metazoa, Chordata, Mammalia, Artiodactyla, Physeteridae.